UCUUCUUUAGCUUUCUGGAACAUCUUGAAUCGUCCCAAUCGGAGUUCAUAUGAAAAAGUUAUGAUAUUUUUACUAAACGGACGUUGAACCUCAAAGUUUGGAAGUUGUAAUUUUCACAGCAGUCACUUGGAGCCCAAUUUCGACCUUGAUGCAGAGCGAUUCUCAAAGAAUGCAAGUUAUAAAUCUCGUUGAUAUCUUCGUUUUGAUAGGUAGCAGGCCCCGUAACUCCUCCUAGAUCAAAAAUUAUGCUCGUUUUACCAAAGGACGUCGCAGCAGAAAAUGAAAAUUCGCCCCAGCGAAUUUGAGCGGGAAAAAUCAGGAAAUCUUGGAUUUUUGGAAAGUUUCUAAAUGCAGAUUUUGGUAUACUUCUACAUGGAAUUGGAUUGAUAUUUCUAUUAGCUUUAGGAUUUCCUUUAGACUAAGAUUUAUUCCAAAUUGAAUUCUAUUUCUUUAUGGAAACUAAUUAUGAUUUGUAAUUCCUUUUAGGAUUUGGAUUUCUACUUUCUAUAGGAUUUAAGACUUUGUCUAGCACUAUAAAUAGAGGAUGAGAGUCAAGGUUUUAUUAAUUCAAUAAUCAACUAUCAUCUAUUGGAGUGCAGACUCAAGAGCAUGUCAGGCUAGUUCUUUUUAUUCAGUUCUAAAGGGAGGUGAAUCCUUGUUACAAGUAAUUGAUUAAUUGAGUAUUAUUAUUUAUUCCUUCUUGUGUGAUUUUUUUUUUCUGAUAAUUUGUUUUCAUUGAUUUCAUGCUAAUUGAUCUAAUUAAUUUGAUAUGGCCAAUUGAGUUAGUUUGAUCAUUAUCAUAUGCUAGAUUAAGUUUGGUAUUACGUGUAAUUGAUAUCUCUCUUCAUCACAAGUAGCAACUUGGUAAUAAUAAUUGUGAACAAGCUUUUGUUUAUUGCUAAGAUUAUUAGAAAACAAGUUAAACAAAUCGAGCUUAUGUGUUUGUUGCUUAGAUUAGGCUAAUUCUCUAUUUCUUAAUGCUUCUAUCAUAUUAAAUCUAGAGAGCUUAUUCUAGGUUGUAUGCUAGUUAGAAUCUGGUGGAGAGCUUGUUUCAUACAGUGAUAAUCUAAGGAGAAUUUCGGAUAGCAGAGCUUAUUGUUAUCUAGGGCUAAUAGUUUCAUUGAAGAGAAAAUAAUAAUAACUUGAUUAAUUGAUUGUUGUACUUGGUGAAACUGAACUGCAGAACUGAAGUUUUUACAUCUUUAAUUAAUAUUAUCAUUUAAUUCUUGUUCUCUUAGUUUAAAAACAAUUUUCAAAAACCCCUAAUCUUUAUUUUUCUAUCAAAAUAAUAGAAUAAAUAUAAAACAAAUCUCUCUCUGUGGGAUCGAUCCUUGCUUACUACUGUGCUAAUUGUUUGAAUUUGUAAAGUGAAAGUGAGGUUAAUUUAGGAGUGUAAACGACAGCUCUCAAAUUUUGGCGCCGUUUUCGGGGAGUGUUAUUUGUUUUUGUUUAUUCUUUGUUUUCGUUUAUUUUUAUUAUUUGCUUUUUGUUUUUGUUUUAUGACUCAACCCUCUAACAUUGUUGACUAAAAUUUUGUUUAAGAGAUAGAGAAAACUGCAGAUAGAAAAGAUGUUCUUGUUCCAUCACUUGAAGUGGAAGAGAUGGUGGUGCCACACAAUAACAGAACUUUGAAAGAACUAGCUACUCUUAAUCUGAAUAAACCAUCUUUUUCUAUUGAGUAUCCUACAAUAGAUGUUGCUUUUGAACUUAACUCCGGACUAAUUCGUCUUUUGCCUAUUUUUCGUGGUCUUAUAGGUGAAAAUCCAUAUAAGCAUCUAAAGGAGUUCCAUGUGGUGUGUUCCACGAUGAAAUCACAAGGAGUGACAGAGGAGCAGAUCAAGCUUAGACUUUUUCCAUUCUCCUUAGUGGAUUUGGCUAAAGACUGGUUAUACUAUCUACCAUCAUGAUCAAUACGAUCAUGGACUGAUAUGCAAAGGUUAUUCUUGGAGAGGUAUUUCCUUGCAUCAAGAGUUGCCGAUACAAGGAAGGAGAUAUCUGGAAUUAGGCAGUUCAAUGAAGAAACUCUCUACGAGUAUUGGGAAAGGUUCAAGAAGUUGUGUUCUAGCUGUCCACCUCACGAAAUUGAUGACCAUCACUUGAUCCAGUAUUUCUAUGAGGGGUUGCUACCAAUGGAAAGAAGUAUGAUCGAUGCGGCUAGUGGAGGAGCACUAGUAGAAAAAACUCCAGACGCUGCAAAGAACUUAAUUACAACCAUGGCAGCCAACUCACAGCAGUGUGGUACUAGGAUGACUCAUACAUCACGAAGGGUAAAAGAGGUUAGCACUUGUAAUAUUGAGCAACAAAUUUCUGAAUUAACUGCAAUAGUUCGACAAAUGGUUGUAAGGAAUACGCAAGGUUUUCAGCAAGCUCAACCUCAGUACCACAUAGGAAACCAAGAAGUACCUGUCAAUUCCGGGAUAUCCAUGGAGGAUAUGUUCAAGGCAUUUAUGAUCCAAACACAACAGUUCAUGAGUCAGACAAGAACUUCUGUUCAAGAUUUGAGGGACCAAGUUGGUCAGCUUGCAACCACAGUAGGAAGGUCACUUUCUCAAACUGUUGAAAAUGUAAGUGCCAUAACAUUGAGAUGUGAUGCAGAGGAUCAACAGCAAGGAAAGUCAAUACAAAGCAAGUCCGACAAUAGUGAAACAGGCAGCAGUGAUGUACUCAAGCACAAAUUUCCACCUCUUUCAGCUUAUGAACUGAAACUACCUUUUCCCCAAGUUCUAACAAGGAAUUGGAAAGUUGGAAAGAAUUCAACAUGGUAUACAGAGUCUAAUGAAAAAUUUCUGGAAGAAAUGGCGAAUAGGGAACAAAAACUUAAAGAUAAUGAGGAGUUCACUAGUGGAAACCAGUUGGAAGUUCUUGAGGCUAUUACUAAAUUUGAAGAAGAAAUCAGGUAUUCAAAGUCUGAAAAGGAUGAACAAGAGGACGAGAACAAUUGGAUAAGUUUUACAGAUCUUUACACAGAGGAUAUAGGUGAUACAGCAUUGCAAACAACAAAAACACUACAUGAUACAUACCAUAAGACCUUAACUAUGGAAUUGGAUGAGGCACAUGUCCAGUUCACCACAUAUGAGACUAAAAGGUAUCUUGGUAUUGUUGAUUUUGUUUUUUCUACUGAUGUUGUGGACUCUAUAGUGUAGGAAUCUUUUGAUCAAGUACAAUUAUACGAGAAGGAUUUGAGGGCUGGAAUGGAGCAAAAUCAUGAUCUAAAAGAUGCUCUUAAUGAAGAAUUGAAAUUGUUACCAGUGCACUUGAAGUUCACAAGUCCAAUUACCUAGAAUGAGAAGGAUGAUGUCAAGCCAAUGACAAUAGACAAGGGCAGCUGCUUGGGAGGCAACCCAAGAACUCAGAUUUGAUCUCUUUAUCCCUUUACUUAUUAGUUUUUUUAGUUGCAUGUAGUUUUUUCUUCUUUGCAUGAUUUUCUUACAUUGGGGACAAUGGUAAGGUUUAAGUGUGGGGGGGAAGAUUUAGGUUUUUAUUUUAUUAGGGGAUAUUGAUCCGAUUUCGAUGGGGAAUUUGAAAAAAAUAAUGCUUUUGAAAUUUUUGAAAAUCUUGGAUUCCAUAGUUCUAUUUGCCUAUGUGUUCGAAGGUUAAAGUCAAAGAUUGAAAAUUGAUGCUAAAAUUCAGAAUCUGUUUGAUGCUUAAUUUAUUAAUGAAUGAUAACAACUAAGUCAUGAUCCAUAGUAAUUGAUUUGAAUUGAAUUUGUGAUACAUGAGUACUUGAAUAUGAGAAGCAUGUUUAUUGGGCUAAGUUAUUUGUGGAGUUGUCUAUGUGCACUAAUUUCACGACUUAGAACUAUUUAACUUGCUUAUGUUGUUGCAGAACCAUGAGAAAAAAUGAUGAAUGAAAAAAAAGAGAAAAAAAAAGGAAAAAAAAAUAAGAAAAUUGAAAAUCUGCUUCAAUGUCCAUUGUGCGAAAUAACUGGGUAUCUAAGUCUCGGGAAGCAUCGGUAUUCACGCUGAAAAGUGCGAUGGAUAAAAGCAGCUUGACUAGUCGACUUUUGUGGCCUUUGUUACUUGAAUAAGUAAGCCCUUAGGGGUGUCUCUACACCUAGCGCCCUAAGAUCAUCUGGUUUGGGAGUCGUUGGUGGAAAGUUCGCUAAUGGGUAACUCUGAAAAGCCUAAGAAAAGGAGACAUUGCACAUGUCAAGAAAAAAUAAUACGAAAAAAAGAAGAAGCAUGAAAAUACAUUCAUCUGUGCACGGUUUUUGCUCCAUGGUAACUAAGUUGAGUAAGUAUGAUGAUUUUGGGAAAGUUACAUGUGGCUACAAUUUGAUUUAAUGAAAUUCAUUGGUGAAAUGGUAAAGUUGGUAAUUGUGAGUUAAUUGAUAAGGCGUUGAUUAGAUUUCUGUAAAUUUAGUGUUGAUAGUCAUUAUUUGUAUCUUGAAAUCUUUUGACACUAUGGUUGAAUAGAAUAUUUUGGAAAUCAAACUUUUGGUUUACACGAGGACGUGUAAAAGGCUAAGUGUGGGGGAAUUUGAUGAGUGCAUAUUAUUCAUUUAUUUUGAUUCCAUUAUAUUUAGUUUUAUUGCAUGUUUCAUGUGUAUAUGAGCUUAUUAAGGUGUUUAAUGAUUUCAAGAAGAAUUGGAGCUAAAAUGAGGAAAAAGAGAAAAUUACAGAAUUUUUAGCAUUAAGUUGGAUGCAUGUUCUUAGCUUGGGACUUGAAUUUUAUUGUAGAGAUCUUCUUUAGCUUUCCGGAACAUCUUGAAUCGUCCUAAUUGGAGUUCAUAUGAAAAAGUUAUGAUAUUUUUACUAAACGGACGUUGAACCUCAAAGUUUGGAAGUUAUAAUUUACACAACAGUCACUUGAAACCCGAUUUCGACCUUGAUGCAGAGCGAUUCUGUCGAUUCUCAAAGAAUAAAAGUUGUAGAUCUCGUCGAUAUCUUCGUUUUGAUAGGUAGCAGGCCCCGUAACUCCUCC
This 4924-nucleotide long non-coding RNA is filed under the name Panax ginseng (ginseng). Its description in RNAcentral is "long non-coding RNA (PGIN_LNC012309)". Lineage: Eukaryota; Viridiplantae; Streptophyta; Magnoliopsida; Apiales; Araliaceae. The record is from RNAcentral.